Molecule: unclassified non-coding RNA, 983 nt
Filed under: Homo sapiens (human)
Lineage: Eukaryota; Metazoa; Chordata; Mammalia; Primates; Hominidae
Description: novel transcript (ENSG00000290533.1)
Source: RNAcentral
AGACGUUACUGCCCUCUUGCGUGCCCCGGCCACCCCCGGGCGGCUUGUAGCCGGUGCGCGGGGUGGCUGGGGCUACGUGCAGAGCUGUCGCGGAGCCGGAGCAGCAGCGGUGAAGCCCCUCGGCUCGGCCGAGACCGCCGUGCCCAUUGCUCGCCUCGGUUGCCGCCGCUUUAGCCGCAGCCGCUGCUGCCGCCGCCGGGGGAGAGGCAGCCUAUUGUCUUUCUCCGCGGCGAAGGUGAGGAGCUGUCUCGGCUCGGCCCGCGGGGGAGCCCCGGGAGCCGCACGGUGGCAUUUUUCAACUCCGCUGGAGCCAAUGCCCAGGAGGAACAAAGGGUGUGCUGCCAGCCCCUGGCUCACCCAGUGGCCUCGUCCCAGAAAAAGCCAGAGGUAGCGGCCCCAGCCCCAGAGAGUGGGGGUGAGUCUGUGUUUGGGGAGACCCACCGGGCCCUGCAGGGGGCCAUGGAGAAGCUGCAGCGACUUUAUGGAAGGAGAAGGUGGACCUGAAGGAGCGGGUAGAGAAACUAGAGCUUCAAUUCAUCCACCUCUCAGGACAGACAGACACCAUAGGGAGAAAGUACAUCAGCCAGGGGGCAGUGUCAGAGACGCAGCACUGGGAGAGGAGGACAUCGUCAGGCUGGCCCAGGACCAGGAGGAGAUGAAGGUGAACCUGCAGGAGCUGCGGGGCAGGUGUUGCAGCUUGUGGGAGACCACAAGGAGGGGCAUGGCAAAUUCUGACCAUUGCCCAGAACCCUGCUGAUGAGCCCACUCUAGGAGCCCCAAUAGCCCAGGAGCUUGGGUGUGCUGACGAGCAGGGUGAUCACCACUGGAUUGCUGACAGAUAGAGGACGUGGGACCGUGACUAUCACCCCUAAUCUGCAGUGGAUUUGGCUCUCGGCACUCCCAGGCUGGGAGCUGGAUACCUGCCCUGGCAGCAUGACUCAGACUGCAUGACAGAGAACGUGGCCAGUGGAGACGGCACACUG